Non-coding RNA from Macaca mulatta (Rhesus monkey), 3634 nucleotides. The record is from RefSeq and is a predicted model, not a curated record. Lineage: Eukaryota; Metazoa; Chordata; Mammalia; Primates; Cercopithecidae.
UAUGACAUAAAAAAGAAUUUUAUUAUGAGGAAUUGGUUCAUGUGAUCAUCGAGACUGAGAAGUCCCACAAUCUGCCAUCCACAAGCUGGAGAUCCCUAAGUCUGAAGGCCUGAGAACCAGAGAAGCCAAUGGUGUAAAUCCCAUUUACAAAGGCAGGAAAAGGUGAGAUGAGCUCUCCCAAGUCAAGCAGUUAGAUAGAAAAAAAGGGGGGCAGGGAUGGGGAAAUUCCUCCUUCCUCCAUCUUCUGUUCUAUUCUGGCCCCCAAAAGAUUGGAUGUUGGAUGAUGCCCACCCAUAUUGGUGAGUACAAUCUACUUUCAUGAGUCCCCUGGCUCAAAUGCUGAUCUCAUCUGGAAACUUCCUUACAGAUAGACCUAGAUAUAAUGUUUAAUAUGGGCCCUCUGUGGCCCAGUCAAGUUGACAUAUGAAGCUAGUCAUUACAACUGAAUAAAGUACUCAUUCAUUCAGCCAUUCAAAUAACUAAUAUUUAUAAAGUUUCUGUUAUAUAAUAAACCCUAUUUUAGGUACCGGUUGUCCUACAUUACUAAGCAGAUUUAGAAAACAAUUGGAAAGAAAAACUAAGUUAAGAGAGUAAUGGGAUAGGAUGAGACAAAUGGAACAAGAAGAAUGACUAACUUCAGCAGUUGACAAUAUUUUUGCCUGAUAUUCCGCUAGAAAGUCCUCAAAUAUUAACUUUUGCCAUGUACAUAAAUAAAAUGUCUAUGAUCUAAUGGCAAUUUAGAUUGUAAAUGGCAAUUUAGAUGUAAAGAUCUGCUAGAUAUGUCUACUGGCCCUGGGCCACCAUUUCUCCCACCUUCUAUAUCCUGUCCUCCUUAACUGCAGGGCUGGGAUGCUAAAGACUGCACUCCCCAGGCUUCCACAUGAUUUAAGUUCCACUGAUGAUGUGCAGUUGUAUGAGAUUUGGAAGGAAAUGAGAGAAGAGGUUAUUCUUCUUUCCAUGACAGUGCAGUGGAAAACAAUGUUGAGGGUAGACAUGAAUUGGCAGCCUCUGAACUCUAUGUCACUAUCUAUUUACUAAAACUCUGUGGUACAGGUAAGCUCAAAUAUAUUCUCAUAAAGUCCUAAUUUCUGGGUGAUCUUAGCAGUUUUUAAUGUCUGGAUCAGAAAGGUGGAGAUAUGCCACCUUUAAACCAAAAGGCUGGCAUGUACCCUCUAAUUUCUAUUCCUCAAGACCUUUUAAUGGCACGUAAUUGCUUAAUCUCCUGAAAUAAUCCAUUUCUACUUGGAAUACCUUGAGGAGUCCUUGCACUAGCACCUGAAUUAUAAAAAAUGGAACUGCAGAUUUUAUUUUGGUUUAUACUUUCAUUUAACUCUGUGUUCCUUUCCCGCCCAUUGCCUUUAGCAUAUAAAAAACUGCAAGCAGGGUCUUUCACUUGGCACAGACUGGUGGACUGGACUGACUCUCAGAGAGUCUACUUCAGCCUUGAUAAUUUUGGGAGUAUUAGAGAAAUGAUUACAUGUAGCAUUUGGAACAGAUUAUUUCCUGUGGUGAAGGGAAAAGAGAUGGAACAAUGUGUUUUUCUUUUCUGUUAGGACACAUAGACCUAUUUGAAUGUACCAUCGAUAAAACCAUCAAGAUUGACUUCCCUAUUUCCUCAAAUGUUAAAUAUAGAGUUACCAAAUGAUAUAGCAAUUCUGCUCCUAAGAAUGUACCCAAGAAAAGCAAAGCCCAUGUCCACACAAAAACAUAUACAUAAAUGUUUACAAAAGGAUUAUUCAAAUAACGGAAAAGCAGAAAUGGAAAUAAUCGAAAUGUCCAUCAACUGAUGAAUAGGUAAACCAAAGAUGGUAUAGCAUAAGAAUAGGUAAACCAAAGAUGGUAUAGCCAUAAAAUGGAAUAUUAUUCAGCCAUAAAGAAGAACGUAAUGACACAUAUGUUACAAAGGAUGAACCUUAAAAAUAUGCUAAAUGAAAGAAGCUAUUCACAAAAGAUCACAUAUUAUAUGAUUCUAUUUAUAUGAACUGUCCUGAAUAGCCAAAUCUAUAGCGACAGAAAAUAGAUUGGUGGGUGUCAGGGGUUUGGAAUAUGGGGAGAGACUGCUAAAGCUUUUAUUUGAGGUGAUAAAAAUGUUCUAAAAUUAGAUAAUAGUGAUGGCUGCACAACUCUGUAAAUAUACCAAAACUCACUGAACUGUAUACUUAAACAGGGUAAACUUUACAGUAUAUGAAUAUACCAUAUUUAUCUUUCAAUAAAGCUACUGUUUAAAAACUUAUUUUUCCUCCUAGGCACUUCACUAAAAUAAAUCACAGAGUGGCACUGGCUGAGGAAGAAGUCUUAUAGUACCUGCAACAGAUAGUGAUAAUUUUCCUUCUGUCAAGAUAAAACCCAUUUACUGGAUUCUUCAUCAUCAGGACUCCAUGUGAUCUGGUAGAAUUGAAAAUCACAGAGCUUCAUUUUUCCCUACUUCCCACCAUAAUAUCCCAUCCCCCAAUUGCAGUAGUAAGUUCAGGUGUAUUCACUUGAUCUGAAUAGAGUAAAUUAAUGUAUUUAUUCAGGGUUAUGCUACAUAACUAUUAGGGCGAAAAGUUUCUCUUUCUGCUUGGGUUGCUAAUCUAGGAAAUUCCUGGAGCUGUUGCUGGUCAUUUUACUACUACAUGGAGAGAAACCAAGCAGAAAAAUGCUGAGAUAAGAGAGGAAGGAUACAGAGAACCUGACAUUACUUGGGACCCUAAAUGUAUUUAAUAGCUGCCUGUAUAUAGACAUCCCCCUAGAUCUUUGAAAUAAAUGAGCCUAUAAAUAUCAAGGUGUAAGCUGGUUUAAAUGGAGCCUCUCUGAGUUUCAAUGAAAAGAGUCCCCCAAUGCAAUAUUUCUUUACAUCAGCCCAAGAAAAAUUUACAAGCUAGGGAAGAAUGUUAUGGAAAAUAAACUGUUAAGACUAACAAAAGAAACCAGUAAAUAUUAUUGGAAAAAAAGAAGGAAGGAAGGAAGGAAGGAUGGAAGGAAAGAUAGAAGGAAGGAGCAGAAAAGAGGAAGGGAGGGAAACUGAAGCAAAGAUGGAAGAAAAGAUGCAAGUGAGGGAAUACUUGAAGAUAAUAAAAUUGUCACAAUUAUCGCCAUAUAUCAGCAUGUGAAUGGAAGGAAUCUCAUUUCUUUUCCAAUAAUUUACUUCCCAAAGGGAAAAAUGAUAGGCAUUUUAUUUUUUUCAUUUGAAAAUUUAGAAAUAGAAACAUUAAACAGUAGUCCUAGUAACUGAGACCAAUGUUAUAUGCAUUAUCAUUAAAAUAAAGGCAAUCAGUUGUUGAAAUUCUAGGUCCAUGUGAAAUACAAAUAAAAACUCUCCCCUUUCACCCGUAAACCGAGACUAGUACUGGGGAAAGCAGCUAAACUACAUAAAGAAAAAAUAAAAACAAAAUGAAGCGGGAUAAAACACAUGGCUUAAAAGAUAUUAGUUGGUUAACUUAAUCAUGUGUUGUAUUAAAUUAUGUAUUUUUCAAUGCCUAAGGAAAUGUUUAAUUUUUAUGACAAGCACAAAUUUUUACAAAGUUUAUAGUGUGUUACUUUUCUACAAGAAGGAAAAAGAAUGUCAACUGCAAAGCCUCAUUCUGUAUUCUUAAAUCCUCAGCCUUUUCUGAAAUGUACAUACUUGUCUAAUUAAAAGAACAUGAUCUGGCCA